UAUAUUAAGUUGUUGCGGUUAAAAGCUCGUAGUUGGAUUUCUGUUGAGGUCGGGCGGUGUGCACCUCGUGCAUUAUUUGCUUCGGUCUCGGCAUCCUCCUGGGGAACGUUUAGGACUUUAUUGGACUAGGCGAGAUUCAGGACUUUUACUUUGAGGAAAUUAGAGUGUUCACGGCAAGCAAGCGCGGGAAUACAUUAGCAUGGAAUAAUAAUAUAGGACCUUCGUUCUAUUUUGUUGGUUUCUAGAACUUAGGUAAUGAUUAAUAGGGACAAUUGGGGGCAUUCGUAUUAACGCGUCAGAGGUGGAAUUCUUGGAUUGCGUUACGGCGAACUACUGCGAAAGCAUUUGCCAAAGAUGUUUUCAUUGAUCAAGAACGAAAGUAUGGGGAUCGAAGACGCUUAGAUACCGUCGUAGUCUAUACCAUAAACUAUGCCAACUAGAGAUCGGUGGGGUUAUCCUAUGUGGCUCCAUCGGCAUCUUAUGAGAAAUCAAAGUCUUUGGGUUCCGGGGGGAGUAUGGUCGCAAGGCUGAAACUUAAAGGAAUUGACGGAAGGGCACCACCAGGAGUGGAGCCUGCGGCUUAAUUUGACUCAACACGGGAAAACUACCAGGUCCGGACAU
Molecule: ribosomal RNA, 621 nt
Filed under: uncultured Syndiniales
Lineage: Eukaryota; Dinophyceae; Syndiniales
Description: SSU rRNA
Rfam family: Eukaryotic small subunit ribosomal RNA
Source: RNAcentral